Molecule: ribosomal RNA, 512 nt
Filed under: uncultured bacterium
Lineage: Bacteria
Description: bacterial SSU rRNA
Rfam family: Bacterial small subunit ribosomal RNA
Source: RNAcentral
AACGAACGGCUGGCGGCGUGCUUAACACAUGCAAGUCGAACGCGAAAGGGACUUCGGUCCUGAGUAAAGUGGCGCACGGGUGAGUAACGCGUAGAUAACCUGUCUUCAUGUCUGGAAUAAUACGCCGAAAGGGGUACUAAUACCGGAUAUUCUUGCUUUUCAUAAGUUAUGCAAGCAAAGGUGGCCUCUGCAUAUGCUACUGCAUGAAGAGGGGUCUGCGUACCAUUAGCUAGUAGGUGGGGUAAUGGCCUACCUAGGCGACGAUGGUUAGCGGGUCUGAGAGGAUGAUCCGCCACACUGGCACUGGAACACGGGCCAGACUCCUACGGGAGGCAGCAGUGAGGAAUAUUGCGCAAUGGGGGAAACCCUGACGCAGCGACGCCGCGUGAGUGAAGGAAGGCCUUCGGGUCGUAAAGCUCUGUCAAGAGGAAAGAAGUGUACAAUGGCUAAUACCUGUUGUAUUUGACGGUACCUCUAAAGGAAGCACCGGCUAACUCCGUGCCAGCCGCUGC